RNAcentral lists this RNase P RNA (338 nucleotides) under pig gut metagenome. RNAcentral describes it as "Bacterial RNase P class B". It matches the Rfam family "Bacterial RNase P class B". From Rfam's summary of the family: Ribonuclease P (RNase P) is a ubiquitous endoribonuclease, found in archaea, bacteria and eukarya as well as chloroplasts and mitochondria. Its best characterised activity is the generation of mature 5'-ends of tRNAs by cleaving the 5'-leader elements of precursor-tRNAs. The record is from RNAcentral.
UCUGGGUAAAUGCUGCAUACUUUGAUAUGUAGAGGAAAGUCCAUGCUCGCACUAUCUGCGAUGAUAGUAGUGUUUGUGUUUAGGGAAAAAAUAACCUAAAGCAGGUAACUGACGGCUUAUCUUUUAUCUAAAGGAAACCAUGAUAAAAGAUGUGUAAAAGUGCCACAGAGACGAGUCUAUUUAGAAAUAAGUAGAAUGAAACGAGGUAAACCCCGCAAGCGAGAAACCCAAAUUAUGGUAGGGGAGUCCUAAUCUAGAGAAACAGAAUCUAGAAGGAAUGACUUAUGUCAUAGAUAAAUAUUUACCGCCUAGAAAUAGGUACAGAACAUGGCUUAUAA